This 179-nucleotide non-coding RNA is filed under the name Mariprofundaceae bacterium. Its description in RNAcentral is "6S RNA". It matches the Rfam family "6S / SsrS RNA". From Rfam's summary of the family: E. coli 6S RNA was the first non coding RNA to be sequenced, but its function was unknown until recently. Lineage: Bacteria; Pseudomonadati; Pseudomonadota; Candidatius Mariprofundia; Mariprofundales; Mariprofundaceae. The record is from RNAcentral.
GCGCCCCUGCGUUGAGCGCAAGGCAAUAUAUUGCCCGAGCCGAUAAUUGCUGACCGGGAGCUUAGCUAUUCUGGUCGUGUGUAUCCCGUUCUUCGGGAAACCUGACUCCAGGAUGCGGCGCCCACUUCGAUACCGAAGGGUUCGGCAGCAUUUCGCCAAUACGCCAACGCGGGGGCGCC